AACGAACGCUGGCGGCAGGCCUAACACAUGCAAGUCGAGCGCACCUUCGGGUGAGCGGCGGACGGGUUAGUAACGCGUGGGAACGUGCCCUUCUCUACGGAAUAGCCUCUGGAAACGGAGAGUAAUACCGUAUACGCCCUUUGGGGGAAAGAGUUAUCGGAGAAGGAUCGGCCCGCGUUAGAUUAGGUAGUUGGUGGGGUAACGGCCUACCAAGCCUACGAUCUAUAGCUGGUUUUAGAGGAUGAUCAGCAACACUGGGACUGAGACACGGCCCAGACUCCUACGGGAGGCAGCAGUGGGGAAUCUUAGACAAUGGGGGCAACCCUGAUCUAGCCAUGCCGCGUGAGUGAUGAAGGCCUUAGGGUCGUAAAGCUCUUUCGCCUGUGAUGAUAAUGACAGUAGCAGGUAAAGAAACCCCGGCUAACUCCGUG
This 431-nucleotide ribosomal RNA is filed under the name uncultured bacterium. RNAcentral describes it as "bacterial SSU rRNA". It matches the Rfam family "Bacterial small subunit ribosomal RNA", at positions 29 to 507 of the family's 1533-position model. The record is from RNAcentral.